UGAGAAUGCCGGAAUGAGUAGCGAGAAUUAUGUGAGAAUCAUAAUGGCCGAAAGUCUAAGGUUUUGGAAGGAAGGUUCGUCCGCUUCCAGUAAGCCGGGAGCUAAGGUGAGGCCGAAAGGCGUAGCCGAUGCACAUACGGUUGAAAUUCCGUAGCCUCCGAAGUAUUUAAACAGAAGGACACUUGAGAAGUGAUGUUGCCGGGCGAUGGUUGACCCGGUCGUAAGGGACCGAAAUUUAGUAGGGAAGUCAUCAUGGAUCGAGGCGAGAAAAGUUCUGUGAAUAUACAAGGAGCCCGUACCGCAAACCGACACAGGUAGAUAGGAAGAAAAUUCUAAGGCCAACGGGAGAAGGGUUGUUAAGGAACUCGGCAAGUUGACCCCGUAACUUCGGAAUAAGGGGUGCUCUCGAGAGAGAGCCGCAGAGAAUAGGCCCAGGCGACUGUUUAGCAAAAACACAGCUCUAUGCUAAAUCGAAAGAUGAUGUAUAUGGGGUGACACCUGCCCGGUGCCGGAAGGUUAAGAGGAGGCGUGAGAGCGCUGAAUUGAAGCCCCGGUAAACGGCGGCCGUAACUAUAACGGUCCUAAGGUAGCGAAAUUCCUUGUCAGGUAAGUUCUGACCCGCACGAAUGGUGUAACGAUCUGGGCACUGUCUCAACAACCCGCCCGGCGAAAUUGUAGUACCGGUGAAGAUGCCGGUUACCCGCGACUAGACGGAAAGACCCCAUGGAGCUUUACUGCAGCUUAAUGUUGAAUUUCGGUAUUUCAUGUACAGGAUAGGUGGGAGACUGGGAACUACAGGCGUCAGCUUGUGGGGAGUCGAUGUUGGGAUACCACUCUUGAAGUGCUGGAAUUCUAACCUGCGGCCUUGAAUCAGGUCGGGGGACAUCGUUAGGCGGGCAGUUUGACUGGGGCGGUCGCCUCCAAAAGAGUAACGGAGGCGCUCAAAGGUUCGCUCAGCAUGGACGGAAACCAUGCCAAAGAGUGCAAACGCAAAAGCGAGCCUAACUGCGAGACUGACGGGUCGAGCAGUAACGAAAGUUGGAGUUAGUGAUCCGGCGGUAUGUGAGUGGAAAUGCCGUCGCUCAACGGAUAAAAGCUACCCUGGGGAUAACAGGCUGAUCUCCCCCAAGAGUCCACAUCGACGGGGAGGUU
This 1152-nucleotide ribosomal RNA is filed under the name human gut metagenome. RNAcentral describes it as "bacterial LSU rRNA". It matches the Rfam family "Bacterial large subunit ribosomal RNA", at positions 1289 to 2518 of the family's 2925-position model. The record is from RNAcentral.